UACAGAGGGGGCAAGCGUUGUUCGGAAUUACUGGGCGUAAAGGGCGCGUAGGCGGCCUGCUAAGUCGAACGUGAAAUCCCUGGGCUCAACCCAGGAACUGCGUCCGAUACUGGUUGGCUUGAAUCCGGGAGAGGGAUGUGGAAUUCCAGGUGUAGCGGUGAAAUGCGUAGAUAUCUGGAGGAACACCGGUGGCGAAGGCGACAUCCUGGACCGGUAUUGACGCUGAGGCGCGAAAGCGCGGGGAGCGAACGGG
This 253-nucleotide ribosomal RNA is filed under the name uncultured bacterium. RNAcentral describes it as "partial 16S ribosomal RNA". It matches the Rfam family "Bacterial small subunit ribosomal RNA", at positions 524 to 776 of the family's 1533-position model. The record is from RNAcentral.